This 395-nucleotide ribosomal RNA is filed under the name uncultured bacterium. Its description in RNAcentral is "bacterial SSU rRNA". It matches the Rfam family "Bacterial small subunit ribosomal RNA", at positions 521 to 916 of the family's 1533-position model. The record is from RNAcentral.
UAAUACGAAGGGGGCUAGCGUUGCUCGGAAUUACUGGGCGUAAAGGGAGCGUAGGCGGACUGUUUAGUCAGAGGUGAAAGCCCAGGGCUCAACCUUGGAAUUGCCUUUGAUACUGGCAGUCUUGAGUACGGAAGAGGUAUGUGGAACUCCGAGUGUAGAGGUGAAAUUCGUAGAUAUUCGGAAGAACACCAGUGGCGAAGGCGACAUACUGGUCCGUUACUGACGCUGAGGCUCGAAAGCGUGGGGAGCAAACAGGAUUAGAUACCCUGGUAGUCCACGCCGUAAACGAUGAGUGCUAGUUGUCGGCAUGCAUGCAUGUCGGUGACGCAGCUAACGCAUUAAGCACUCCGCCUGGGGAGUACGGUCGCAAGAUUAAAACUCAAAUGAAUUGACGG